This 1014-nucleotide ribosomal RNA is filed under the name Flavobacteriaceae bacterium A171GS. Its description in RNAcentral is "bacterial SSU rRNA". It matches the Rfam family "Bacterial small subunit ribosomal RNA", at positions 41 to 1063 of the family's 1533-position model. Lineage: Bacteria; Pseudomonadati; Bacteroidota; Flavobacteriia; Flavobacteriales; Flavobacteriaceae. The record is from RNAcentral.
GGGAGGCCUACACAUGCAAGCCGAGGGGUAUUUAGGAGCUUGCUUCUAGAGAGACCGGCGCACGGGUGCGUAACGCGUAUGUAACUUGCCUCUAUCAUUGGGAUAGCCCGGGGAAACCCGGAUUAAUACCGAAUAUAAUAAGAAUCAACCUUGGUACUUAUUGAAAGAUUUAUCGGAUAGAGAUAGGCAUGCGUAGGAUUAGUUAGUUGGUAAGGUAACGGCUUACCAAGACAGUGAUCCUUAGGGGGCCUGAGAGGGUGAUCCCCCACACUGGAACUGAGACCGGACCAGACUCCUACGGGAGGCAGCAGUGAGGAAUAUUGGACAAUGGGUGAGAGCCUGAUCCAGCCAUCCCGCGUGAAGGACGACAGCCCUAUGGGUUUUAAACUUCUUUUGUAUGGGGAUAAACCUAUCUACGAGUAGAUAGCUGAAGGUACCAUACGAAUAAGCAUCGGCUAACUCCGUGCCAGCAGCCGCGGUAAUACGGAGGAUGCAAGCGUUAUCCGGAUUUAUUGGGUUUAAAGGGUCCGUAGGCGGAUUUGUAAGUCAGCGGUGAAAUCCUACAGCUUAACUGUAGAACUGCCGUUGAUACUGCAAGUCUUGAAUAGUAUUGAAGUAGCCGGAAUGUGUAGUGUAGCGGUGAAAUGCAUAGAUAUUACACAGAACACCAAUUGCGAAGGCAGGUUACUAAAUACCGAUUGACGCUGAUGGACGAAAGCGUGGGGAGCGAACAGGAUUAGAUACCCUGGUAGUCCACGCCGUAAACGAUGGAUACUCGCUGUUGGGCUUUAGGGCUCAGCGGCUAAGCGAAAGUAAUAAGUAUCCCACCUGGGGAGUACGACCGCAAGGUUGAAACUCAAAGGAAUUGACGGGGGCCCGCACAAGCGGUGGAGCAUGUGGUUUAAUUCGAUGAUACGCGAGGAACCUUACCAGGCUUAAAUGGGAAUUGACGUAAUUGGAAACAGUUAUUUCUUCGGACAUUUUCAAGGUGCUGCAUGGUUGUCGUCAGCUCGU